This 348-nucleotide unclassified non-coding RNA is filed under the name soil metagenome. Its description in RNAcentral is "partial contains 5.8S ribosomal RNA, internal transcribed spacer 2, and large subunit ribosomal RNA". The stretch from base 1 to 120 matches the Rfam family "5.8S ribosomal RNA", at positions 35 to 154 of the family's 154-position model. The record is from RNAcentral.
GAUGAAGAACGUAGCAAAAUGCGAUAAGUAAUGUGAAUUGCAGAAUUCAGUGAAUCAUCGAAUCUUUGAACGCACAUUGCGCCCGCUGGUAUUCCGGCGGGCAUGCCUGUUCGAGCGUCAUUUCAACCCUCAAGCCCCCGGGUUUGGUGUUGGGGAUCGGCUCUGCCCUUCUGGGCGGUGCCGCCCCCGAAAUACAUUGGCGGUCUCGCCGCAGCCUCCAUUGCGUAGUAGCUAACACCUCGCAACUGGAACGCGGCGCGGCCAUGCCGUAAAACCCCAACUUCUGAAUGUUGACCUCGGAUCAGGUAGGAAUACCCGCUGAACUUAAGCAUAUCAAUAAGCGGAGGA